This is a non-coding RNA of Epinephelus lanceolatus (giant grouper), 563 nucleotides long. Lineage: Eukaryota; Metazoa; Chordata; Actinopteri; Perciformes; Serranidae. The record is from RefSeq and is a predicted model, not a curated record.
ACAUCACAGGUCAUGGAGAGUCUCCACCCAGCUGGCUCACUGUCACAGGGAAACCCUCCACUACAAGUCCUCCUACAUCUACCUCUGGUCUUUCCUCCUCUUCCUCACCUAAACCUACCUCUGGUUCCCCUCCUGACUCCAUAUUACCAUCUGUGGUUUCACCUGUCUGUGUUCUGGUGUUCCUGGUGUUGCUGGUUCUACUGGUGAGACGAUUCAUCCACAGGACACCUAAAGCUGCUGAAGUUGGAGAUGAUGACAUCAGAGAUGACAUCACAUACAGUGAUGUCAAUAUAUCACGUAACCUACAGCAGCCAAUCAGACGGAGCAAAGAGAGCGAUCCAGCUGCCGUCUACUCAGCAGUGAGAAGAGCAGACGACAUCAGCUACGGACAAAUAGUCUUCAAAGACAUCAGAUCAAACAGGAAGAGAGAGAGCGAUCCAGCUGCCGUCUACUCAGCAGUGAGAAGAGCAGACGACGUCAGUUACGGACAAAUAGUCUUCAAAGACAUCAGAUCAAACAGGAAGAGAGGUACAGCUGUUUGUCUUUGUCUCCAUGGCUGAAUC